Molecule: ribosomal RNA, 264 nt
Filed under: uncultured bacterium
Lineage: Bacteria
Description: partial 16S ribosomal RNA
Rfam family: Bacterial small subunit ribosomal RNA
Source: RNAcentral
GUCCACGCCGUAAACGAUGAAUACUAGGUGUUGGGGAGCGAAGCUCCUCGGUGCCGCAGUUAACGCAAUAAGUAUUCCACCUGGGGAGUACGUUCGCAAGAAUGAAACUCAAAAGGAAUUGACGGGGACCCGCACAAGCGGUGGAGCAUGUGGUUUAAUUCGAAGCAACGCGAAGAACCUUACCAGAUCUUGACAUCCCCCUGACCGGUCCGUAAUGGGACCUUUCCUUCGGGACAGGGGAGACAGGUGGUGCAUGGUUGUCGU